GAUCAUGGCUCAGGACGAACGCUGGCGGCGUGCUUAACACAUGCAAGUCGAACGAGGAUUAUGUUGGAGGGGCUUCGGCCUGGAAGAUGUAAUUCGAGUGGCGGACGGGUGAGUAACGCGUGAACAAUCUGUCCCGGACAGGGGAAUAACACUUGGAAACAGGUGCUAAUACCGCAUAAGACCACGCCCUCGCAUGGGGGAGGGGUAAAAGGAGCAAUCCGGUUCGGGGUGAGUUCGCGUCCGAUUAGAUAGUUGGUGAGGUAACGGCCCACCAAGUCGACGAUCGGUAGCCGACCUGAGAGGGUGAUCGGCCACAUUGGAACUGAGAGACGGUCCAAACUCCUACGGGAGGCAGCAGUGGGGAAUAUUGGGCAAUGGGCGAAAGCCCUGACCCAGCAACGCCGCGUGAGUGAAGAAGGCUUUCGGGUUGUAAAGCUCUGUUAUAGGGGACGAAGGAAGUGACGGUACCCUAUAAGGAAGCCCCGGCUAACUACGUGCCAGCCGCUGC
Molecule: ribosomal RNA, 508 nt
Filed under: uncultured bacterium
Lineage: Bacteria
Description: bacterial SSU rRNA
Rfam family: Bacterial small subunit ribosomal RNA
Source: RNAcentral